Molecule: ribosomal RNA, 468 nt
Filed under: uncultured bacterium
Lineage: Bacteria
Description: partial 16S ribosomal RNA
Rfam family: Bacterial small subunit ribosomal RNA
Source: RNAcentral
GACGAACGCUGGCGGCGUGCUUAACACAUGCAAGUCGAACGGAAAGGCCCUGCUUUUGUGGGGUGCUCGAGUGGCGAACGGGUGAGUAACACGUGAGUAACCUGCCCUUGACUUUGGGAUAACUUCAGGAAACUGGGGCUAAUACCGGAUAGGAGCUCCUGCUGCAUGGUGGGGGUUGGAAAGUUUCGGCGGUUGGGGAUGGACUCGCGGCUUAUCAGCUUGUUGGUGGGGUAGUGGCUUACCAAGGCUUUGACGGGUAGCCGGCCUGAGAGGGUGAACGGCCACCUUGGUACUGAGAUACGGACCAGACUGCUACGGGGGGCAGCAGUGGGGAAUAUUGCACAAUGGGAGGACGCCUGAUGAAGCAACGCCGCGUGCGGGAUGACGGCCUUUGGGUUGUAAACCGCUUUAGCCUGUGACGAAGCGUGAGUGACGGUAAUGGGUAAAGAAGCACCGGCUAACUACGUG